This 497-nucleotide ribosomal RNA is filed under the name uncultured bacterium. RNAcentral's name for it is "partial 16S ribosomal RNA". It matches the Rfam family "Bacterial small subunit ribosomal RNA", at positions 28 to 507 of the family's 1533-position model. The record is from RNAcentral.
GAUGAACGCUGGCGGCGGGCCUAAUACAUGCAAGUCGAGCGGACAGACGAGGAGCUUGCUCCUCUGAUGUUAGCGGCGGACGGGUGAGUAACACGUGGAUAACCUACCUAUAAGACUGGGAUAACUUCGGGAAACCGGAGCUAAUACCGGAUAACAUGGUGAACCGCAUGGUUCAACAGUGAAAGACGGUCUUGCUGUCACUUAUAGAUGGAUCCGCGCCGCAUUAGCUAGUUGGUAAGGUAACGGCUUACCAAGGCAACGAUGCGUAGCCGACCUGAGAGGGUGAUCGGCCACACUGGAACUGAGACACGGUCCAGACUCCUACGGGAGGCAGCAGUAGGGAAUCUUCGGCAAUGGGCGAAAGCCUGACGGAGCAACGCCGCGUGAGUGAAGAAGGUCUUCGGAUCGUAAAACUCUGUUAUUAGGGAAGAACAAAUGUGUAAGUAACUAUGCACGUCUUGACGGUACCUAAUCAGAAAGCCCCGGCUAACUACGUG